AUGGCAAUGAGCACACCAAGGCACUGUGCAGUCAAAAUACAGGUUAUGUGCUCCUGUGAGCAGGUGCUCUUACAUCAGUCUGAAUUUUGCUGUGAAAUACUUUGCUUGGCUCUUGGUGGGGUUUUACCCAGGAUCAGUUCAGUCUUCAGUGAAGGAUGCACGACCAAGAGGGACAAUGGUAGCAUGACAAUGGGAGGCAGUGGGGGUCAGCUCCUGAUGGAGGGUCUGGAUGAAAGAAGAGCAAGGAAGGAUGGGAGAGUGCUUAUCACAGUGGGCAACAGAAACAUCUCCAGAUCUUCAAUACCCAGCAGAGAGACCUCCUGCACAGCCUCUUUUUCCCUUCACAGUCUGGGAAUCAGCUCUGCUGUCAUGAUAAAUGUUGGGAUUCUCUCAAAGAUGGUGCAGAACAACCUUCAUUUCUCCUUACCCUGGCAAGGACUGGAGUUUGACAGCAUACUGAUGAAAAAAAGACAUUAUGUGAAUGGCAGAAAAGACAUACAGUAGCAAGGUGAUCCUACUACAUAUGGAUAUGUACAGAGAGAUAUCUCAGAACAUCUUCAUUUAAUUUUCUCUUCUGCAAAAGAGAUGGAACAAGGAGGUUUUCAUUUCAAGAUAAAUGCUAAUUGACACUCUGCCUCCCAGGAAAAUAUCACAUGAAGAAAAUGCAGCCUUCCCUGCAGAACAGAGAAGACUGCAAAAUGCUGUUCUGAAUUCCUGAGCUUCAUGGCAUCGAGUUUUAAAUUUUCAUGUCUCCAGGUUUUCAAUAUUUACUUUCAUUUCCUUAUCAAGUUAUAAAAAGGAUGAUGAUUUCAUUGCUUGUGACUUAUUCUUGGGACUUUGGAAGUACCAGUAUCAGUCACUAGUAUUAUUAAAAAACAGUACAGACCCCUGUAUCAGGGAAGGAAAAAUCCAAACAUGGACAGAUUUGUUUCUUUCCUCUUGGUGUGAAAAUGAUAGUACUCCCUAACACAACCCAAAUAGUGAAGAACGAUACUCAUUCAAUUGUGUUUCAACAUUAUAUUCUGCUUUACUUUAUAGAAUAUUUGGAAAAAUUCAGAAUUUUUUUUUCCCAAAAAGAUACUGAAGGGAAUUUCUUAUUCUUCUAAUCUUAAUUAAACAUUGAUAUGUGUAAAAUGUUUUGUGGCUACACGUUCCUUCAAGCUUCCACUUCAAGAUGAAAUGUUUGUUUAAUGUUUUCCACAAAAUGCACACCUCAAGAUUUCAUAGAUACCAGAAUUCUGAAAUUCUAAGUUAUUAUACACAUUGGAAAUGUAAGGAUAUCACACCUGUGCUUUCAUUCUGAACUGUUUCUGAUUCUGUUGAAGGAUUAUUUUGUCAUGUUGACUGGAUCUUUCCAGCUAUGUCUACCAUUUAUUGAACUAUUAAUAUAAUCCACAUGGAAUGUUACAUGAGGCAGCAAUCCUGCAGCUAGGAUUGUAGGCAAUCAUGUAAUUAAAGAUUGUAUCAUGAUACAUCAGCACAGGGAGGCCAAUUUAAUAAGAACAAGAACAAUCUGAAGUCUGGCACUUUCUUUGUUUAGGACUUGCCUUUACAAAUGUCUAAUGAACUAAUCUGAUCUGAUAAUUGCAUGUCUUUUUUGUACUAGAGGAUAUAGUCAGAAGAUACAUUUCUAGAAUAAUUGAAGCAUAAUACCUUUAGCAAAAGAAAAAAAGAGCUCAAAUUCUAGUUCAUCACUUUUCUUAAAGUAUUUCUUCUGCUCAAUAUUUGGCCUUCAUAUUUACUGGUGUGGAAAGUAGGAUUUGAUAGGCUGGAUGGUUUUAUUUGGCAGAGGAAGAAGUUUGUUGUUUACAUUUGCUUAGCUGGUAGAACAGCAUGCUCAGGUGUUUCCUAGUAACUUAAACAGCUACCCCUAAUACUUUUAAAAUAAAAUUAAAAAUAUGAAAUGCA
This 1908-nucleotide long non-coding RNA is filed under the name Anas platyrhynchos platyrhynchos (common mallard). RNAcentral describes it as "lncRNA (ENSAPLG00000024090.1)". Lineage: Eukaryota; Metazoa; Chordata; Aves; Anseriformes; Anatidae. The record is from RNAcentral.